AAUAAAUUCAGAAGUUAGCCAAAAUCUUUGUUCGCUUUUUGUUUUGCCCCUCUGAGCAUCUCAGUUUGCUUUGCAGAGAAAGCUGUGUGAAGAUGGACGGAACCCAAGCUCGAGCUAGCGUGCCGUCAUACCUGGUCUGGUCCAUUUUCAACCUUUUGUGUUGCUGCUUUCCACUCGGUGUGGCUGCUGUGGUUUGCUCAUGCAGGAGCGAGAAUGCCAGCGGAGUUGGAGACAUGGCGAGAGCGCAAGAAGCAUCUCGAACCGCCAAGAUUCUCAACAUUGUUGGACUUGUGUGUGGGAUCAUUUUAAUCAUCAUCAUUAUUGUAGUGCAGUUCGUCGGGGCCAAACAUUAAACCCGCCGCUGAUCCACGUUCAACAAGACGGACUGGCUUUGGCAAACCCCUUUCCAUGACGAACUCCCCCGCUUUUACCUCUUAUGUACACCGCGUAAUCACGAAUCCUGUAUCUAAUGUGGGAUGGGAAUAAAAGGGGACCAUUUGUUUUGUAUAGCUUAUUGUGUUUUGUCUGCGUGAUUUCUAAACGAUUGCCUAUUUUUUUAAACCACAUGUCUUUAAUAACACAUGUCGUUUUAAAUAAACGAGUUAUGUGCUGUAAAAACAUUAAAGCUUGUCUUUCUUUUUAAAUAAAUAUUAUUUGGUACGUGUUUUAUUAUUAUUAUUAUUAUUAUUAUUAUUAUUAUUAUUUGGAAAGUCUCAAUAUUGAAAAGACAGCGAGCAUUUAACCGAUCUGAACACAGUUCCGAUUGCUGCGGCACAACCUCGCCCUCUUCCAAUGCGUCAUUAUGACGUGCCAUUCUAGAAUGUGAGCGAGAGUCAGUACAUUUCGUUCUUAUAACUUUCAGAAUUACCUUCUCACGACAGUAAUAAUUAAUUAUUAACUACAACAUUCUUUCACCAUAAAACAAAAAGGUUGCUUCAUAGGCCCACCUUUGGAGACCACAUGUAAGUUUAUAAUAGUAUCUAACAGUCUUGUGUUUGUACAAGCAAUUACUAUUAUUAUAUUACAGUCAGUACCAAUCCAGUAUCUUGGGACUCGUUUCUAUAUACCAAUACUUGUAGUGUCGCUAGUAAGACAUCAGAUUAUUAUUAUUAUUAUUAUUUAUUUCUUAGCAGACGCCCUUAUCCAGGGCGACUUACAAUUGUUACAACAUAUCACAUUAUACAUUAUUUCACAUUAUACAGAUAUCACAUUAUUUUUACAUACAAUUACCCAUUUAUACAGUUGGGUUUUUACUGGAGCAAUCUAGGUAAAGUACCUUGCUCAAGGGUACAACAGCAGUGUCCCCCACUGGGGAUUGAACCCACAACCCUCCGGUCAAGAGUCCAGAGCCUUAACCACUACUCCACACUGCUGCCCAGUUUCAGAAUGUAAACAGCGUUUUUAUAUAACGUUGCGCACACUACUUGAUUGUAUUAGGCUACCUGUCGUAUUCCACCGACACCUACUUACCUGGCUAUAAAUACGACAGAUGGAUCACAGCCAUUUCACUCAGUAACCCUGAGAAACAUGGCUGCGCUACUUUAUGCUGUGUAUUUAAGACAGAGGGCAUCGGAAGAUCGUGCGGAGCAUGUUUGACGUGGUUUCUGAUCAAGACAUCACAGCGAAGCGCCGCUUGCAGAGAUGUGUGGGGUAUGUGACGGUGCCCUCCGAUCGCUAUUCCACGACCCUCUCUUCUGCUGAUGAGAGCUUGUACAGUGGAGAGCAGGGGGGGGGCAAGCUAUGUUAUGUCUCAUGUUAUGUCCCGCUAGAAGCACUUCUUUCAAUUAUAGUUUCAGUUCCAAUCAAAAAAGAGGUCCAUUUAAAUGACACGGAAUGCACCGUUCCUCAAUUUGAAAAUUGGAACUUCUCAUUUGUAUUAAACCCCCAGGGCAAACAUGACCACAACACAUUAUCGCUUGAUCUUCCCUUUUCUCACUGCGGUUAUUAAAGGCUAUAUUUUGGAAACCACGUGUGCGGUUGUGACACACAUAUUUUACAUAUUGUGGGACACCUGUAGUGUGUGACUGGACACACUAGAGAUGACUCGGUAUAGUACGUUUCAUUGACACACACAAAUACACGUUCUGUUGUGAAACGUGGAAUGUAUCGUAAUAGGUAACAGUUAAAUACAAUAACGCGUAUUAAAAAAAAACAUGUCAUUCAUUAGAGUUUACAAUACAUAAAACACAUAUAUAAAACGCACAACACCGCCAUGCAGUGCUGUAUGCUGGAUUGAGGUACAGCAUACCAGAACAUUUGUAUUCUGUAUUUUUUUAACUAACGUACAUGCGAACUUCCCAAUGUUAUGCUUUUAUGUCUCCAGUGAUGUUAUAAAAGAGUGCAAAUCCGUGGUAUGACUGACUGGUGACGUGACUUAUUUAACAACAGUGUGAUAAUGACAAGAGUGAAUGACACACCAGGGCAGAGGGUGGCACUAUCAGGCGUGACAAACACGUUUCAAGGGUUUGUGUGCGUGCCUGCGUGCGUGUGCGUUUUUAUUAACUUGCUACAAUAAAUAAAUAAAUAAAUAAAUAAAUAUGGAAAGUUUUACUGAUUGGAUUCUGUCUAACUCUCCAUCACAUACUCAGACAGCCCACUUAAAAAAAAAAGGUUGUUCCAUUACCCUGAAAGCAAAGGCAUAAUAUUAUUUUGGCUCAGAUCUCAUAAAAGUGGCAGAAUAGUACAGAUCGCAUUUGAUGAUGGAGGAAGUGAAAGAGAGAACCCCACCUGCAGAAACCUACCUGCUCUGGUCAAUAAUAAAUCUCCUGUGUUGCUGUUUCCCUCUUGGAGUCGUCGCUGUCAUAUAUUCCAUUAGGGUGGAGAACGCUGUCUCAGUUGGAGAUAUGUCACGAGCGGUGGAAGCAUCUCAAACAGCCAAGAUCUUAAACAUUGUUGGAGUGGUUACCGGAGCGCUAGCAUUGAUGCUGAUCUUUGUUAUGUAUGCCGUUGUGAUUACCCGCCUCAAUCAGUGAUUCAUACAAACCAGGAAUUGGAUCUCUACUUGUGCGUACCUGUCUUGGUGUUAACUUUCUGCAUGCAGUAAAUACCGCGCUGUUUCCUUGCGACGCUUCUUCCCUUUCGGCUUUGCUGAAGAGCACACACCUUUCCACACUUUUUUUAUUGUCAACAUUAUCAGUGUUAAACAUCGCUUUGGUGAGAGCUGCUUUCGAAGUGUUUCCAAGCUUGAGUGCUGUGCAAGUCCCGUCAUGAAGUGGACUGGGGGAAGGGAACUUUUGGAAUUUGUGGACGAUUGCGCUCAAUAGAGUAACACUGUGAGCAAAAGCCAGUGGUUUGAAAACACCCUCUCAGUCGCUCAUGGGCCUCUUUCAAGCAGGAAUGCACCACAUUGUGUGUGCGUGUGUGCUUGUGCGUGUGUGGGGGGCUGUUUGGACGGAUUCCAUGUUGCCAUUUGAUAUUGAGUCUGAGUUCAGUCAUCUGCUAGUUUCCAUGUAGCAGAUUGAAAACAGCCCAGUUUAAAGUUAGAAUGGAGGGCUGGCAGAACUUACAGCAUGAUUUUCAAAAGGGGCAAAAUAAGAACUAGGUUGCACAGUGAUUUCUAAAAGCUGAUUUGGGUCACUAAGUAUGUGGCUUUCAAAGGGUUUCGAUGAAACAAGUCUUGUAUUCACCUGUUGAUGCUUUGAAAAUACAACUCAAGCGACGUGGUUACAUUAAAUCACGCUUUUAAAAACAUUUCGCGACCUAGUUCUUAUUUUGCCCCUUUUAAAAAUCAUGUUGUUAGUCCCUCCAUUUUGCACUAAUGUUUGAAGUCACCUGAUCUAAUGCAGAGGAUGCAAGAGAUUGUUCUAACUGGGGCCUCCAGAGUUUAAAAGGAAUUAGCUACACCCCCUCCACCAACACAGAGAAAACUAUAAAUCAGCUACAGCUAUAGAGACAAUCUUCUUACAAUAAGCUUAUCUCAUAUUGGUAUUGUUUUUUAUAUUUUGUUUGGUAAUUUCUCAAAUCAGCUGCUCAAGAAAACAGGUUACAUUUUAAUAUCCACUGCAUAUAGUGUUAUUUUAAAACAAAAAUUGCUAAGUAGCACAGUUGAGUUUUGCGAUAGGAAAAUGGACUACCGUACACUACAGCAAGUUGUUCCAAUCUUUGUUGGAAGUUUGAAUGUUUAAUUUGACAUUUCCUGCUCGAGCUCAACAUUUUGGUGGUAUAUUUUGCCGCAUUCAAUUUGCUUAAUAACUUAUGGGCUCUAUAAGGAACUGUUAAUUGUGUUGUAUUUAUUUAUGUAAGUGUGUAAUUGUUUGAUGUUUGUAAUGUAUAACAGAUUUUAUUGGAUGAAUGUUUUGUAAUUUAUUAAACUGUGUCAUGCUUU
Long non-coding RNA from Acipenser ruthenus (sterlet), 4324 nucleotides. RefSeq lists it as uncharacterized. The transcript is spliced from 3 exons. The record is from RefSeq and is a predicted model, not a curated record. Lineage: Eukaryota; Metazoa; Chordata; Actinopteri; Acipenseriformes; Acipenseridae.